RNAcentral lists this ribosomal RNA (505 nucleotides) under uncultured bacterium. Its description in RNAcentral is "partial 16S ribosomal RNA". It matches the Rfam family "Bacterial small subunit ribosomal RNA", at positions 28 to 507 of the family's 1533-position model. The record is from RNAcentral.
GACGAACGCUGGCGGCGUGCCUAAUACAUGCAAGUAGAACGCACAGUUUAUACCGUAGCUUGCUACACCAUAGACUGUGAGUUGCGAACGGGUGAGUAACGCGUAGGUAACCUGCCUGGUAGCGGGGGAUAACUAUUGGAAACGAUAGCUAAUACCGCAUAAUAUUUAUUAUUGCAUGAUAAUUAAUUGAAAGGUGCAAUUGCACCACUACCAGAUGGACCUGCGUUGUAUUAGCUAGUAGGUGAGGUAACGGCUCACCUAGGCGACGAUACAUAGCCGACCUGAGAGGGGGAGCGGCCACACUGGGACUGAGACACGGCCCAGACGCCUACGGGAGGCAGCAGUAGGGAAUCUUCGGCAAUGGACGAAAGUCUGACCGAGCAACGCCGCGUGAGUGAAGAAGGUUGUCGGAUCGUAAAGCUCGGUUGUAAGAGAAGAACGGGUGUGAGAGUGGAAAGUUCACACUGUGACGGUAGCUGACCAGAAAGGGACGGCUAACUACGUG